RNAcentral lists this ribosomal RNA (468 nucleotides) under uncultured bacterium. RNAcentral describes it as "partial 16S ribosomal RNA". It matches the Rfam family "Bacterial small subunit ribosomal RNA", at positions 28 to 507 of the family's 1533-position model. The record is from RNAcentral.
GACGAACGCUGGCGGCGUGCUUAACACAUGCAAGUCGAACGGAAAGGCCCUGCUUUUGUGGGGUGCUCGAGUGGCGAACGGGUGAGUAACACGUGAGUAACCUGCCCUUGACUUUGGGAUAACUUCAGGAAACUGGGGCUAAUACCGGAUAGGAGCUCCUGCUGCAUGGUGGGGGUUGGAAAGUUUCGGCGGUUGGGGAUGGACUCGCGGCUUAUCAGCUUGUUGGUGGGGUAGUGGCUUACAAAGGCUUUGACGGGUAGCCGGCCUGAGAGGGUGACCGGCCACAUUGGGACUGAGAUACGGCCCAGACUCCUACGGGAGGCAGCAGUGGGGAAUAUUGCACAAUGGGCGGAAGCCUAAUGCAGCAACGCCGCGUGCGGGAUGACGGCCUUCGGGUUGUAAACCGCUUUCGCCUGUGACGAAGCGUGAGUGACGGUAAUGGGUAAAGAAGCACCGGCUAACUACGUG